RNAcentral lists this unclassified non-coding RNA (339 nucleotides) under soil metagenome. RNAcentral describes it as "partial contains 5.8S ribosomal RNA, internal transcribed spacer 2, and large subunit ribosomal RNA". The stretch from base 1 to 120 matches the Rfam family "5.8S ribosomal RNA", at positions 35 to 154 of the family's 154-position model. The record is from RNAcentral.
GAUGAAGAACGUAGUGAAAUGCGAUACGUAGUGUGAAUUGCAGAAUUCAGUGAAUCAUCGAAUCUUUGAACGCACAUUGCACCUCUCGGUAUUCCGGGAGGUAUGCCUGUUCGAGCGUCAUUUGUACCCUCAAGCUCUGCUUGGUGUUGGGUGUUUGUUCCGCCUCUGUGUGUGAACUCGCCUCAAAACAAUUGGCAGCCGGCGUACUUGUUUCGGAGCGCAGCACAUUUUGCGAUCCAGAUCAACGUACAGCGGCAUCCAAGAAGCCUUAUUUAACGCUCUUGACCUCGGAUCAGGUAGGGAUACCCGCGGAACUUAAGCAUAUCAAUAAGCGGAGGA